GACGAACGCUGGCGGCGUGCCUAAUACAUGCAAGUCGAACGAACCGCGACUAAGUGCUUGCACUAAGUCAAGGUGAGUGGCGAACGGGUGAGUAACACGUGGGUAACCUACCUCAUAGUGGGGGAUAACAGUCGGAAACGACUGCUAAUACCGCAUAGGACAUAGGAUCACAUGAUCCAGUGAGGAAAGGUGGCGCAAGCUAUCGCUAAGAGAUGGACCCGCGGUGCAUUAGCUAGUUGGUAGGGUAAAGGCCUACCAAGGCGAUGAUGCAUAGCCGACCUGAGAGGGUGAUCGGCCACAUGGGGACUGAGACACGGCCCAAACUCCGACGGGAGGCAGCAGUAGGGAAUCUUCCGCAAUGGACGCAAGUCUGACGGAGCAACGCCGCGUGAGUGAAGAAGGUCUUCGGAUCGUAAAGCUCUGUUGUUAGAGAAGAACAGCGCAUAGAGUAACUGCUAUGCGUGUGACGGUAUCUAAACAGAAAGCCACGGCUAACUACGUG
Molecule: ribosomal RNA, 502 nt
Filed under: uncultured bacterium
Lineage: Bacteria
Description: partial 16S ribosomal RNA
Rfam family: Bacterial small subunit ribosomal RNA
Source: RNAcentral